CCUUGUGAAAUCGGGCCGCCUAACGGUUCGGCGUGCAAGGGAUGCUGUUGGUCUUGAGGCCGGGAGAGGUCGGAGGUACUCCUGGGGUAGCGGUGAAAUGCUCUAAUCCUAGGGGGACCACCAGUGGCGAAGGCGUCCGACCAGAACGGACCUGACGGUGAGGGGCGAAGGCUAGGGGAGCGAACGGGAUUAGAUACCCCGGUAGUCCUAGCUGUAAAGCAUGCGGGCCAGGUGUCUAGCGCUCCUCGAGGGCGCUAGGUGCCGGAGGGGAGCCGUUAAGCCCGCCGCCUGGGAAGUACGGCCACAAGGCUGAAACUUAAAGAAAUUGGCGGGGGAGCACCACAAGAGGUAGGACCUGCGGUUCAAUUGGAUUCAACGCCGGAAAACCCACCAGGGGCGACAGCUGGUUGACGGCCAGAUUGACGAUCUUGCCCGACUAGCUGAGAGGUGGUGCAUGGCCAUCGUCAGCUCGUACCGUGAGGCGUCCUGUUAAGUCAGGCAACGAGCGAGAUCCUCGCCCUUAGUUGCCGUCGGUGGAAAGCCGGGCACUCUAGGGGGACCGCUGGCGCUAAGUCAGAGGAAGGAGAGGGCGACGGUAGGUCAGUAUGCCCCGAAUCCCCUGGGCUACACGCGGGUCACAAUGCGCAGGACAAUGAGAUGCAACCCCGUAAGGGGAAGCCAAACCCAUAAACCCGCGCUCGGUUCGGAUCGAGGGCUGUAACUCGCCCUCGUGGAGCUGGAAUCUCUAGUAAUCGCGUGC
RNAcentral lists this ribosomal RNA (760 nucleotides) under uncultured archaeon. RNAcentral's name for it is "bacterial SSU rRNA". It matches the Rfam family "Archaeal small subunit ribosomal RNA", at positions 540 to 1305 of the family's 1478-position model. The record is from RNAcentral.